This 1268-nucleotide long non-coding RNA is filed under the name Dromaius novaehollandiae (emu). Its description in RNAcentral is "lncRNA (ENSDNVG00000006132.1)". Lineage: Eukaryota; Metazoa; Chordata; Aves; Casuariiformes; Dromaiidae. The record is from RNAcentral.
AAGCACAUAGUUGGGUCUUCUAUGAAUGAUAAACAUCCCUAUCCCAUUUUCCUCUCUUCCUCUCUGCAAAUAACCCAUGGUAGUUGUUUUUCAGCUAGGGGAUUUUAUGUGAGAAAAAUUACAAAUACAUUUCUGACUGGAGGAAGAAAAAGACUUAAAAGAGUGAUAGUAAUUAAUAAUUGGUUUAAGAACUGCAUUGGAAAGUGGGAGAACUCUAAUUAUAGCAACUGGCAUGGAGAACAGGAGAAAAGGUGAAAUCAUAGAUGAAAUUUAAAUGGCAAGAACAAUCUGGGAGGAGAAGGAGAACAUGAGGACCAGGUGCAUCAAAUCACCGAAAUCCCAGAACAGCCUCUCCCUAACCAAACUAUUCCUGUUCCUUCAAUGGAUCCCAGUGCUGCCUAUUUAUUUAAUUAUUUGGUGUUUUGCCUCAUUUGUCAGAAAGCCUCACUCCUGGAAGUUUUUUUUCUAGAAGAUCUCUACUUGGAAAGAGGAGCUGGGUGUAUUUUCAAAUUCACAGAAGAUAAAAAGGGAUUGCCUUCUCAGAACCAAAUACAUACAGUGUGUGCUGAUGGGAUAUUUCAGAUUGGGGCAAGUAAACAGAGGAAGUCCUGAUGYCCAGUACCCUACCCAGCCUGGAAAGGCCUAUUGUCUUCCCGGAUUUCUUCACAGGCCUCCCUGGCCUUACAGCCCUUCCUCCCUGCAAAUAUUUCAAACUGUGCAAGAGCCUGCUCAGCUGGCAGACAGAAGAGAACCAGUGCUGCUCCUCCAGAGCCCUUUGUACUUCUCUGCCCCAGGUUUGCUUCUCUUCCUCACCUCUGCUGCUGUUUAUCCCUUGCUCCUCUUUUCCACCCUUCUUCCUUCCCAGGAAAUCUCCUAAUCCUAACAGGUCUCUGUUUCUAAAGUUUCCCCCUUAAACCAGAGUGUGCAGCCACACACGAGCUUUUCCUUCUGCACCCGCUCCCCCAGCCACUGCUCCUGGACCAGGGACAGAGAAGCACCAGGUGGGAAGGGUGACAGUAAGAACAAGCUCAGGAAGUAAAUGUGUUAGUUCUGCAAUCCUUUUUGGUCCUGAAGAGAUGCGGACGAUAUGCCCUAACGUGGCCCCUCCACGCAGCAGAGACGGGAAACCUGCAGAGCGCAGAUGGAGAGAGGAAAGCAGGAAGAGAGGAAGAGGAAGGCAAAUGGAUGCACACCAAAUGGGAAGAGCUGUGUACGGGAAGGGCAAGGGUAGCCAAGUCCACUCUUGAGUAGCUGAAAAAUAAAGCAGA